RNAcentral lists this unclassified non-coding RNA (338 nucleotides) under soil metagenome. Its description in RNAcentral is "partial contains 5.8S ribosomal RNA, internal transcribed spacer 2, and large subunit ribosomal RNA". The stretch from base 1 to 120 matches the Rfam family "5.8S ribosomal RNA", at positions 35 to 154 of the family's 154-position model. The record is from RNAcentral.
GAUGAAGAACGUAGCGAAAUGCGAUAAGUAAUGUGAAUUGCAGAAUUCGGUGAAUCAUCGAAUCUUUGAACGCACAUUGCGCCCAUUAGUAUUCUAGUGGGCAUGCCUGUUCGAGCGUCAUUUCAACCCUUAAGCCUCUGUUGCUUAGCGUUGGGAGCCUACCUACCCGGUAGAUCCUCAAAGUUAGCUGGCAGGGUCGAGGUUCGCCCUAAGCGUAGUAGUUCUUUCUCGCUUCUGCGGCUGCCUAGGCCAUCGCCACAAGCCUUUUAAACUUCAAUGGUUGACCUCGGAUCAGGUAGGAAUACCCGCUGAACUUAAGCAUAUCAAUAAGCGGAGGA